GACGAACGCUGGCGGCGUGCUUAACACAUGCGAGUCGAACGGAAAGGCCCUGCUUUUGUGGGGUGCUCGAGUGGCGAACGGGUGAGUAACACGUGAGUAACCUGCCCUUGACUUUGAGAUAACUUCAGGAAACUGGGGCUAAUACCGGAUAGGAGCUCCUGCUGCAUGGUGGGGGUUGGAAAGUUUCGGCGGUUGGGGAUGGACUCGCGGCUUAUCAGCUUGUUGGUGGGGUAGUGGCUUACCAAGGCUUUGACGGGUAGCCGGCCUGAGAGGGUGACCGGCCACAUUGGGACUGAGAUACGGCCCAGACUCCUACGGGAGGCAGCAGUGGGGAAUAUUGCACAAUGGGCGGAAGCCUGAUGCAGCAACGCCGCGUGCGGGAUGACGGCCUUCGGGUUGUAAACCGCUUUCGCCUGUGACGAAGCGUGAGUGACGGUAAUGGGUAAAGAAGCACCGGCUAACUACGUG
This 468-nucleotide ribosomal RNA is filed under the name uncultured bacterium. RNAcentral's name for it is "partial 16S ribosomal RNA". It matches the Rfam family "Bacterial small subunit ribosomal RNA", at positions 28 to 507 of the family's 1533-position model. The record is from RNAcentral.